RNAcentral lists this ribosomal RNA (2357 nucleotides) under Clostridioides difficile. RNAcentral describes it as "partial 23S ribosomal RNA". It matches the Rfam family "Bacterial large subunit ribosomal RNA", at positions 422 to 2798 of the family's 2925-position model. The record is from RNAcentral. Lineage: Bacteria; Bacillati; Bacillota; Clostridia; Peptostreptococcales; Peptostreptococcaceae.
ACACGUGAAACCCUGUGGGAAGCAGGAGGGACCACCCUCCAAGGCUAAAUACUACCUAGUGACCGAUAGCGUAUAGUACCGUGAGGGAAAGGUGAAAAGAACCCCGGGAGGGGAGUGAAAUAGAACCUGAAACCCUGCACUUACAAGCUGUGGAAGCACAUUUCUUGUGUGACCGCGUACUUUUUGUAGAACGGGCCAACGAGUUACGUUAAGUAGCAAGGUUAAGCACUUAAGGUGUGGAGCCGUAGCGAAAGCGAGUUUUAACUGAGCGUUCAGUUACUUGACGUAGACCCGAAACCGGGCGACCUACCCAUGAGCAGGAUGAAGCGAAAGUAAAAUUUCGUGGAGGUCCGAACCCACGAGCGUUGAAAAGCUCGGGGAUGACUUGUGGGUAGCGGUGAAAUUCCAAUCGAGCCCGGAGAUAGCUGGUUCUCCCCGAAAUAGCUUUAGGGCUAGCCUCAAGGUGAGAGAUACGGAGGUAGAGCACUGAAUGUCCUAGGGGGUAUUGCACCUACCGAAGACUAUCAAACUCCGAAUGCCGUCAUCUUAUACUUGGGAGUCAGACUGUGGGUGAUAAGAUUCAUAGUCGAAAGGGCAACAGCCCAGAUCGUCAGCUAAGGUCCCUAAAUGUAAGUUAAGUGGUAAAGGAUGUGGGAUUGCACAGACAACCAGGAUGUUGGCUUAGAAGCAGCCACUCAUUCAAAGAGUGCGUAAUAGCUCACUGGUCGAGUGAUCCUGCGCCGAAGAUUUCCGGGGCUAAAACUUACUACCGAAGCUACGGCAUCAGUAAUGAUGGGUAGGGGAGCUUCCCAUACGGGUUGAAGCAUGACCGUAAGGACAUGUGGACAGUAUGGGAGUGAGAAUGUUGGCAUGAGUAGCGAGAUGUGGGUGAGAAUCCCACAGGCCGUAAACCCAAGGUUUCCAGGGGAAGGUUCGUCCGCCCUGGGUUAGUCGGGACCUAAGCUGAGGCCGAAAGGCGUAGGUGAUGGACAACAGGUUGAUAUUCCUGUACUACCGAUAACCGUUUGAGAGAAGGGAUGACACAGUAGGAUAAGCUAAGCACACUGUUGGUUAUGUGUGCCCAAGCAUUGAGGCAGUCAAAGUAGGCAAAUCCGCUUUGAUAAUGCUGGGAUGUGAUGGGGAGCGAAAUUUAGUAGCGAAGUAGCUGAUUUCACACUGUCAAGAAAAGUCUCUAUCGAGGUUAAAGGUACCCGUACCGCAAACCGACACAGGUGGGUGAGGAGAGUAUCCUAAGGCCAGCGAGAGAACUGUUGUUAAGGAACUCGGCAAAAUGACCCCGUAACUUAGGGAUAAGGGGUGCCACCAUCAGGUGGCCGCAGAGAAUAGGCCCAAGCGACUGUUUACCAAAAACAUAGGUUUCUGCUAAGUCGCAAGACGAUGUAUAGGAGCUGACGCCUGCCCGGUGCUGGAAGGUUAAGGGGAUCUGUUAGAGCAAUCGAAGCAGUGAACUUAAGCCCCAGUAAACGGCGGCCGUAACUAUAACGGUCCUAAGGUAGCGAAAUUCCUUGUCGGGUAAGUUCCGACCCGCACGAAAGGCGUAACGAUUUGGGCACUGUCUCAACAACAGACUCGGUGAAAUUGUAAUUCCGGUGAAGAUGCCGGAUACCUGCGACAGGACGGAAAGACCCCAUGGAGCUUUACUGUAGCUUGACAUUGGGUCUUGGUACUACAUGUACAGGAUAGGUGGGAGGCUUUGAAACCAGGACGCCAGUUUUGGCGGAGCCAUCCUUGGGAUACCACCCUUGUAGUACUGGGACUCUAACCAUAGGCCAUGAAUCUGGUCUUGGGACACUGUCAGGUGGGCAGUUUGACUGGGGCGGUCGCCUCCCAAAAGGUAACGGAGGCGCUCAAAGGUUCUCUCAGUACGGUCGGAAAUCGUACGUAGAGUGUAAAGGCAAAAGAGAGCUUGAUUGCAAGACAUACAGGUCGAGCAAGGAUGAAAAUCGGACUUAGUGAUCCGGUGGUUCUGCGUGGAAGGGCCAUCGCUCAACGGAUAAAAGCUACCCUGGGGAUAACAGGCUUAUCUCCCCCAAGAGUCCACAUCGACGGGGAGGUUUGGCACCUCGAUGUCGGCUCAUCACAUCCUGGGGCUGUAGUAGGUCCCAAGGGUUGGGCUGUUCGCCCAUUAAAGUGGUACGCGAGCUGGGUUCAGAACGUCGUGAGACAGUUCGGUCCCUAUCCGUCGCAGGCGUAGGAAAUUUGAGAAGACCUGUCCUUAGUACGAGAGGACCGGGAUGGACGUACCUCUGGUGUACCAGUUGUUCUGCCAAGGGCAUGGCUGGGUAGCUAUGUACGGAAUGGAUAAGCGCUGAAAGCAUCUAAGCGCGAAGCCAACU